GACGAACCGUGCGAACGUUGUUCGGAAUCACUGGGCUUAAAGGGCGCGUAGGCGGUUGGUCAAGUCAGGGGUGAAAUCUUUCGGCUCAACCGGAAAACUGCCUUUGAUACUGACUGGCUGGAGGGAGAUAGGGGUUGCGGGAACUACCAGUGGAGCGGUGAAAUGCGUUGAUAUUGGUAGGAACGCCGGUGGCGAAAGCGCGCAACUGGAUCUCUUCUGACGCUGAGGCGCGAAAGCUAGGGGAGCAAACGGGAUUAGAAACCCCAGUAGUCC
RNAcentral lists this ribosomal RNA (273 nucleotides) under uncultured bacterium. RNAcentral describes it as "partial 16S ribosomal RNA". It matches the Rfam family "Bacterial small subunit ribosomal RNA", at positions 524 to 796 of the family's 1533-position model. The record is from RNAcentral.